UUGUUUCUCUCCCCCCCCCCCCCCCAGAACUUAACCAAAAUGUAAACACAUGUUAACGUGGAGUGUUUGCAGGGAUAAAUGAGUAUGUGAAUGCAAGAGAAUAAGCUUGGUCAGGUGUUUCUUCAGGCAGUAUUCUGUUUUGUUUGACAAAGGGCCUCUCACCAAGCAGGCCAGGCUAGAUUGGCUGGAAAGCCUGCUAGUUGGAUUACAAACUUGAGCCCCAUCCCUUGAUUUUUUUUUUCUUUUUCUUUUUUCUUUUCUCUUUUAGAUUGUGCCUGAGUCCCAAACUCGAUUCAUCAUCCAUGCAAUGCAGGAUAUAUGCACCUAUGUUGUUUCUUUUUCAAGACUUCUCAUAGUGAAACCUUUACACCCUGGGUGUAAAGGUUUUUGACAUUUUGAGAUAAUAUCCUUUGUUCCUUUUAUAUAGUGUGUGAAGUUCUUUGGAGUCUUGUGAUUAGCUAGCAAUGUAUAUAAGCUUAUUAAAGGAACCAAGUACAGUGAAACCCUCAAGAACCCUGGUAAUGUACAGAUGCUGAGUUAAAGGUUUACUUCUUAAGCAGUUGUGACAAAUGUUGAUGGCAGCACCACUCAGGUCACCUGGAUAAGCCUUCUCGUAAGGAGAUCUAUUUGUAGUAACUCUGGAUUACAGGUGAGCUUCUUAGCCAAGGUUUUUCUUCACCACCCUCCUCCAUUUAGCUUUUGUUCCCUGCCCCUUUUUAUUAACUUUGUUUGUUUGGUUAUUGUUGUUUUGGAUCGCCCAUAUCUGAAAUAGUAGCCUUAGGAACACUGCCAGUUGAUUGACAACAUAAAAUAUGUUGCUCUUAAAUGUGUUUCCAGGUCAGUUCCCUGCACAAGUAUCCUUCAAACUAGGCCCUGACAACAUAAAAUAUGUUGCUCUUAAAUGUGUUUCCAGGUCAGUUCCCUGCACAAGUAUCCUUCAAACUAGGCCCGGUGUCAACCGAUCUGUUGGUACCACUAUGUUAACCUACCACUUCCCAAAUCAGUGGACUGAAUGGUCUUUAACCACACUGACAAGCUUCCAGCGCCUUCGCUCAACGAUAGGAGCCGCCCAACGAUAGGAGCCGCUCAGCGAUAGGAGCCGGUGAGGCAGAAAAGCAGGUGAUCUGCGGAACCUCACGCAUAUACAGGGCUCAAGGUCUUCCGCAUCGUUCAUCUCAUGAUCCUCAAGGACCCAGGACAGGGAUGGGAUGGGGGAGCGACGGACAGCAGUAAAACGAAAACCACACAAAACACUUUCCCCGCAAUCACAGCAAAUGACAACGGAGGAAGCAGAAGAAUCCAGUCAUAGGGCUCACAUCCACUUGUGAUCUUGUCCUCAGGAAUGUCAUUCGAGCAUGACAUGAAAGCGUUCCCUACUGACCCCAGGGAUGCAAGCACUGCCGGGACUCAGCAGGGUUCCUUUCCAAGUCCCCCGGGUGGUCACGCAGCCGACCCUUGCGGCCUGCCCUUCUUUGAGAGAGUCCUCCUUGAGACUCACCCUAAGUCUCCGGAGCGGCCUGGGGACACCAGGUGACCAAGCAUGGCUGACUCCCGUGCUCAACCCUGCUGAAGGGCACCGCACACCAACCUAGGCCCUCCCAACGCCUCGCCCUGUGACAAGAUUUCUGUUGGCGCUUGCUAGGUAAGAUUUCAUGGUCACAGGUUCCUACUCUCCUGGCAUACACAUUCUCACAGUUAAUUCAACCGCAUACCUAGGUACACUACAAGGAAGGAAUUUUUUGCAGUCAUUAUAAAGGUGCGAUCAGUUAAGAAAAAGAUUGCCUAGCUGAGCCAAUCAUAAAAGCUCAUUAAAUCUUGGUUUGUGUGAUAGAGACAAGGGAGUUAGAGAUUAGAAGAAUGAGGGUUAUACAAUGUUCUACAAGUCUUUGGUGGCUGUGAUAAAAGUAAGCAUAAUCAUUAACUCCCCUAUUAUGGAAUUUAAGUCAGUCUGGAGUGGAUAAAAAUGAUCUAGCUAACAGCUUGAAGUAAAGUAAUAACUUCAACAAUGACGAGAACUCAAUUUCUGUUGCCAACAGUCAACUUGAAAUAGGACCUUGUGAGAACCAAGAACCACAGCUCAACCUAAAUCCUGGUCUAUGCUUGAUGAGACUCAGCAGUCUUGCUAUAAACUCACGACAAUAAAUUGUUUCUUAAAUGUG
Psammomys obesus (fat sand rat) is the source of this 2159-nucleotide long non-coding RNA. RefSeq lists it as uncharacterized. Lineage: Eukaryota; Metazoa; Chordata; Mammalia; Rodentia; Muridae. The transcript has 2 exons. The record is from RefSeq and is a predicted model, not a curated record.